AGAGUUUGAUCCUGGCUCAGAAUCAACGCUGGCGGCGUGCCUAACACAUGCAAGUCGAACGAGAAAGGGGAGCAAUCCCUGAGUAAAGUGGCGACCGGGUGAGUAACACGUGACUAACCUACCUUCGAGUGGGGGAUAACCUCGGGAAACCGGGGCUAAUACCGCAUAAUGCCUUCGGGUUAAAGGAGCAAUUCGCUUGAAGAGGGGGUCGCGGCUGAUUAGCUAGUUGGCGGGGUAACGGCCCACCAAGGCGAUGAUCGGUAGCCGGCCUGAGAGGGCGCACGGCCACACUGGAACUGAAACACGGUCCAGACUCCUACGGGAGGCAGCAGUGGGGAAUUUUGCGCAAUGGGGGAAACCCUGACGCAGCAACGCCGCGUGGAGGAUGAAGUCCCUUGGGACGUAAACUCCUUUCGACCGGGACGAUAAUGACGGUACCGGUGGAAGAAGCCCCGGCUAACUUCGUGCCAGCAGCCGCGGUAAUACGAGGGGGGCGAGCGUUGUUCGGAAUUAUUGGGCGUAAAGGGCGCGUAGGCGGUGCGGUAAGUCACCUGUGAAACCUCUGGGCUUAACUCAGAGCCUGCAGGCGAAACUGCCGUGCUCGAGUGUGGGAGAGGUGCGUGGAAUUCCCCGGUGUAGCGGUGAAAUGCGUAGAUAUCGGGGAGGAACACCUGUUGGCGAAAGCGGCGCACUGGACCACAUCUGACGCUGUAGGCGCGAAA
Molecule: ribosomal RNA, 722 nt
Filed under: uncultured bacterium
Lineage: Bacteria
Description: bacterial SSU rRNA
Rfam family: Bacterial small subunit ribosomal RNA
Source: RNAcentral